GAUCAUGGCUCAGGAUGAACGCUGGCGGCGUGCCUAACACAUGCAAGUCGAACGGAGCUGCUUUGAUGAGAUCUUCGGAUGGAUUUAAAACAGCUUAGUGGCAGACGGGUGAGUAACGCGUGGGUAACCUGCCUCACACUGGGGGAUAACAGUUAGAAAUAGCUGCUAAUACCGCAUAAGCGCACGGUUCCGCAUGGAACAGUGUGAAAAACUCCGGUGGU
RNAcentral lists this ribosomal RNA (221 nucleotides) under uncultured bacterium. RNAcentral's name for it is "partial 16S ribosomal RNA". It matches the Rfam family "Bacterial small subunit ribosomal RNA", at positions 15 to 219 of the family's 1533-position model. The record is from RNAcentral.